Molecule: ribosomal RNA, 1372 nt
Filed under: uncultured bacterium
Lineage: Bacteria
Description: bacterial SSU rRNA
Rfam family: Bacterial small subunit ribosomal RNA
Source: RNAcentral
GAUGAACGCUGGCGGCGUGCCUAAUACAUGCAAGUCGAGCGAACGGACGAGAAGCUUGCUUUUCUGAUGUUAGCGGCGGACGGGUGAGUAACACGUGGAUAACCUACCUAUAAGACUGGGAUAACUUCGGGAAACCGGAGCUAAUACCGGAUAAUAUUUUGAACCGCAUGGUUCAAAAGUGAAAGACGGUCUUGCUGUCACUUAUAGAUGGAUCCGCGCUGCAUUAGCUAGUUGGUAAGGUAACGGCUUACCAAGGCAACGAUGCAUAGCCGACCUGAGAGGGUGAUCGGCCACACUGGAACUGAGACACGGUCCAGACUCCUACGGGAGGCAGCAGUAGGGAAUCUUCCGCAAUGGGCGAAAGCCUGACGGAGCAACGCCGCGUGAGUGAUGAAGGUCUUCGGAUCGUAAAACUCUGUUAUUAGGGAAGAACAUAUGUGUAAGUAACUGUGCACAUCUUGACGGUACCUAAUCAGAAAGCCACGGCUAACUACGUGCCAGCAGCCGCGGUAAUACGUAGGUGGCAAGCGUUAUCCGGAAUUAUUGGGCGUAAAGCGCGCGUAGGCGGUUUUUUAAGUCUGAUGUGAAAGCCCACGGCUCAACCGUGGAGGGUCAUUGGAAACUGGAAAACUUGAGUGCAGAAGAGGAAAGUGGAAUUCCAUGUGUAGCGGUGAAAUGCGCAGAGAUGUGGAGGAACACCAGUGGCGAAGGCGACUUUCUGGUCUGUAACUGACGCUGAUGUGCGAAAGCGUGGGGAUCAAACAGGAUUAGAUACCCUGGUAGUCCACGCCGUAAACGAUGAGUGCUAAGUGUUAGGGGGUUUCCGCCCCUUAGUGCUGCAGCUAACGCAUUAAGCACUCCGCCUGGGGAGUACGACUGCAAGGUUGAAACUCAAAGGAAUUGACGGGGGCCCGCAUAAGCGGUGGAGCAUGUGGUUUAAUUCGAAGCAACGCGAAGAACCUUACCAAAUCUUGACAUCCCUUGACAACUCUAGAGAUAGAGCCUUCCCCUUCGGGGGACAAAGUGACAGGUGGUGCAUGGUUGUCGUCAGCUCGUGUCGUGAGAUGUUGGGUUAAGUCCCGCAACGAGCGCAACCCUUAAGCUUAGUUGCCAUCAUUAAGUUGGGCACUCUAAGUUGACUGCCGGUGACAAACCGGAGGAAGGUAGGGAUGACGUCAAAUCAUCAUGCCCCUUAUGAUUUGGGCUACACACGUGCUACAAUGGACAAUACAAAGGGCAGCGAAACCGCGAGGUCAAGCAAAUCCCAUAAAGUUGUUCUCAGUUCGGAUUGUAGUCUGCAACUCGACUACAUGAAGCUGGAAUCGCUAGUAAUCGUAGAUCAGCAUGCUACGGUGAAUACGUUCCCGGGUCU